GAUGAACGCUGGCGGCGUGCCUAAUACAUGCAAGUCGAGCGAACGGACGAGAAGCUUGCUUCUCUGAUGUUAGCGGCGGACGGGUGAGUAACACGUGGGCAACCUACCUAUAAGACUGGGAUAACUUCGGGAAACCGAAGCUAAUACCGGAUGAUAUUUUGAACCGCAUGGUUCAAAAGUGAAAGACGGUCUUGCUGUCACUUAUAGAUGGAUCCGCGCUGCAUUAGCUAGUUGGUAAGGUAACGGCUUACCAAGGCAACGAUGCAUAGCCGACCUGAGAGGGUGAUCGGCCACACUGGAACUGAGACACGGUCCAGACUCCUACGGGAGGCAGCAGUAGGGAAUCUUCCGCAAUGGGCGAAAGCCUGACGGAGCAACGCCGCGUGAGUGAUGAAGGUCUUCGGAUCGUAAAACUCUGUUAUUAGGGAAGAACAUAUGUGUAAGUAACUGUGCACAUCUUGACGGUACCUAAUCAGAAAGCCACGGCUAACUACGUG
RNAcentral lists this ribosomal RNA (497 nucleotides) under uncultured bacterium. RNAcentral describes it as "partial 16S ribosomal RNA". It matches the Rfam family "Bacterial small subunit ribosomal RNA", at positions 28 to 507 of the family's 1533-position model. The record is from RNAcentral.